Molecule: ribosomal RNA, 267 nt
Filed under: uncultured bacterium
Lineage: Bacteria
Description: partial 16S ribosomal RNA
Rfam family: Bacterial small subunit ribosomal RNA
Source: RNAcentral
AUGAACGCUGGCAGCGCGCCUAACACAUGCAAGUCGAGCGGAGGUGUGGAGUAGUUUACUAUGAAGCAUCUUAGCGGCGGACGGGUGAGUAACGCGUGGGCAACCUGCCCUAUGCAGGGGGAUAACAUAUCGAAAGGUGUGCUAAAACCGCAUAAAGCUUAAGAAUCGCACGAUUUUCAAGCCAAAGAUUUAUCGGCAUAGGAUGGGCCCGCGUCUGAUUAGCUAGUUGGUGAGGUAAAGGCUCACCAAGGCGACGAUCAGUAGCCG